Molecule: long non-coding RNA, 322 nt
Filed under: Gossypium barbadense (sea-island cotton)
Lineage: Eukaryota; Viridiplantae; Streptophyta; Magnoliopsida; Malvales; Malvaceae
Description: long non-coding RNA (GBAR_LNC012628)
Source: RNAcentral
GACCUGGUAUCAACAAAUAGGAUUCAUAUCAUAUUCUUCAAGCAUUUCGACUCCGGUUUCCAUGACUGUAGGAAUAGAAGCUACUCCGAUCCGGAUACUCAAAACUCUGUCAAUGAUAUUCAUUUCAACUCCGAUUCGGAUACUCAAAGGGCUUGGGAGUCUCUACCAGAUAAUUUCUUUCGCAAACUGUCUUUGCAAAACAACACCCCUCGGCGAAGUCAAAAAAUUUGUUUAGGAGCCUAGAUAAAAUUUUAAUUUUCUAUAGUUUAUAUCUUUAUAAUUUGUAAAUGAUUAAAUUAAAUUUUUAUAAUUUUAGAAAGCC